Long non-coding RNA from Girardinichthys multiradiatus, 1005 nucleotides. RefSeq lists it as uncharacterized. NCBI's taxonomy places the organism in Eukaryota, Metazoa, Chordata, Actinopteri, Cyprinodontiformes, Goodeidae. The transcript is spliced from 3 exons. The record is from RefSeq and is a predicted model, not a curated record.
CUAACAGGAGAGAGGAUGACACUGGAUGGUUUGGAAGCCGCUCAUGGAUCGAAUAGAACAAAGCAAUGCUUUAAGUUUUUGGUUGCUUUGGUGGGUGUGAUGGGACUGCUCAUUGUGGUUUUGGUAACUGCUUUAAUUUUCUUUUAUCUAAGGACAACACCAUCUUGCAACCAGGAAGCUCCACCAAAGAUAUGUCCAGCAAAAGUCAAAACGACUUAUAUAAUAAAAGAGAGUGAUUUCAAGACAAUCUAUGACAUAUUCUCAGCAGACAGAGGUGGAACCUAUUCAGUCUACGGAUGGGUGAAGUUCCUUGAGGUCACAGGUGAACCGUUCACUCUGAUUCAGAGGACAGAUGAUGACAUCAGAACAAUGGAGACAAAGAGUGUGGACCAUACAAACAUCUUCUUCCACAAAGUCUUUAAGCUUACCAAAAACACAAAGUUGAGUCUUGACUUCAGUCCCAGCAAAACCAUAGAUUUUAAAGAGAGCUGUUUUUAUGUUUGUUACAUGUGAUCAGGAUGAUUUCAAAGUUUCUACAUGACUUGUAAAUCUAUGACGGUGUAGAGAUUAUGCAAUUUCCACAUGUUCAUACCCAUGGAGAGAUUUGUCCUGAAAACGUAGUUGCAGCUUGACAAAAUGUGUUGAUGACAGGUAAAAAUAGACGUCAACUCAUAAUGUGCUCUGCUUUCUUGUCAGCUACCACUGGAAUAGCAAAGUGCGCACCACAAAAAGUGUUAAUCUCACUUUCGCAUUAAAAAAGAGAAUCUCUGACAGUCAUCUUCAUCUCUCAAAAUGAAUACCUUUACCUGUGAAUUGACCUGUACAGCACAGUUCAAUGAAAGUUAUAAAAGACUGUAAAAUCAACUGAAACUGCAGAUAUAAAGUGUAAAAUUUUAAUGCAGUCCUUUGUUUUUUCUUUAUGUACAUUCUUCUUUCAGUUAUGACAGUUUCUUUUAUGUAAUUAAAUUGAGUUCACAAAACUAGGGAAUUAAUCCAAUGUAAUGC